This 96-nucleotide non-coding RNA is filed under the name Dictyocaulus viviparus (bovine lungworm). RNAcentral describes it as "Eukaryotic small subunit ribosomal RNA". It matches the Rfam family "Eukaryotic small subunit ribosomal RNA", at positions 1556 to 1644 of the family's 1831-position model. The record is from Rfam by way of RNAcentral. Lineage: Eukaryota; Metazoa; Nematoda; Chromadorea; Rhabditida; Metastrongylidae.
GAAUAUCUUCCGUGACCGGGAUAGGGAAUUGUAAUUAUUCCUCUUGAACGAGGAAUCCCUAGUAAGUGUGAGUCAUCAGCUCAUGAAGAGGAUUAU